UAUUAACUACCCAUAGUAUAUGAAGUGGCAUCUACUUUAUUAAUUAAAGUAUUUAUCACUCGAAGAGUGGCUGUGCGGCUGAUUAGGUAGUUGGCGGGUAAAGGCCCACCAAGCCUGCGAUCAGUAACUGGUGUGAGAGCACGACCAGUCACACGGGCACUGAGACACGGGCCCGACUCCUACGGGAGGCAGCAGUAAGGAAUAUUGGUCAAUGGAGGCAACUCUGAACCAGCCAUGCCGCGUGGAGGAUGAAGGUCCUCUGGAUUGUAAACUUCUUUUAUAUGGGACGAAAAAGGCUUUUCUAAGUCGUCUGACGGUACCAUAUGAAUAAGCACCGGCUAACUCCGUG
RNAcentral lists this ribosomal RNA (349 nucleotides) under uncultured bacterium. RNAcentral's name for it is "bacterial SSU rRNA". It matches the Rfam family "Bacterial small subunit ribosomal RNA", at positions 161 to 507 of the family's 1533-position model. The record is from RNAcentral.